UCCGGCCGUAGACGAGCCGGGGGUUGCGGGCGUGGCAGGCCUGUGGCCCGAUCCCCAGGCGCUCGGCGACGCCCGGCCGGUA
This 82-nucleotide transfer RNA is filed under the name Streptomyces minutiscleroticus. RNAcentral's name for it is "tRNA-Ala". Lineage: Bacteria; Bacillati; Actinomycetota; Actinomycetes; Kitasatosporales; Streptomycetaceae. The record is from RNAcentral.